CCUACGGGUGGCAGCAGUGAGGAAUAUUGGUCAAUGGGCGGAAGCCUGAACCAGCCAAGUAGCGUGCAGGAUGACGGCCCUACGGGUUGUAAACUGCUUUUAUACGGGAAUAACGCGCCUUACGUGUAGGGUUUUGCAUGUACUGUAUGAAUAAGGACCGGCUAAUUCCGUGCCAGCAGCCGCGGUAAUACGGAAGGUCCGGGCGUUAUCCGGAUUUAUUGGGUUUAAAGGGAGCGUAGUGGGGAUGUCAAGUCUGCUGUGAAAUGUUCGGGCUCAACCCGAGACUUGCAGUUGGAACUGGCAUUCUUGAGUACGCGGAAGGCAGGCGGAAUUCGUCGUGUAGCGGUGAAAUGCUUAGAUAUGACGAAGAACCCCGAUUGCGAAGGCAGCUUGCUACAGCGGAACUGACGCUGAUGCUCGAAAGCGCGGGUAUCAAACAGGAUUAGAUACCCCAGUAGUC
Molecule: ribosomal RNA, 460 nt
Filed under: uncultured bacterium
Lineage: Bacteria
Description: partial 16S ribosomal RNA
Rfam family: Bacterial small subunit ribosomal RNA
Source: RNAcentral